Molecule: ribosomal RNA, 253 nt
Filed under: uncultured bacterium
Lineage: Bacteria
Description: partial 16S ribosomal RNA
Rfam family: Bacterial small subunit ribosomal RNA
Source: RNAcentral
UACGUAGGGUGCGAGCGUUGUCCGGAAUUAUUGGGCGUAAAGAGCUCGUAGGCGGUCUGUCGCGUCUGCUGUGAAAUCCCGAGGCUCAACCUCGGGCUUGCAGUGGGUACGGGCAGGCUAGAGUGCGGUAGGGGAGAAUGGAACUCCUGGUGUAGCGGUGGAAUGCGCAGAUAUCAGGAAGAACACCGAUGGCGAAGGCAGUUCUCUGGGCCGUAACUGACGCUGAGGAGCGAAGUCGUGGGGAGCGAGCAGG